Molecule: long non-coding RNA, 2428 nt
Organism: Notolabrus celidotus (New Zealand spotty)
Lineage: Eukaryota; Metazoa; Chordata; Actinopteri; Labriformes; Labridae
Exons: 3
Source: RefSeq, a predicted model, not a curated record
CCAGACUAUUGAAGCCACACAUUUGAGCCUGUGGACUACAGUGAAAACACCCCCCACCCCUCCAUCUCCAUCUCACAACACCACCAGCAGCAGCAGCCCCCUCCCUCAGCUGGCGUGUUUGAGCUUCUCAGCAGGGGGCCUGCAGUUCCAGAGAUAUGUGGGGGUGGUGUGUGUGUGCGUCAGUGCGUGUGGGUGUGCGUGUGUGUGUGUGUGUGUGUGUGUGUGUGUGUGUGUGUGUGUGUGUGUGUGUUCGUGCAGAGGCAUGUGUGUGCAGCCUUUCGGCUUCUCCCUGGAUGUGCUAAUGUGUUAAUUGAGUAUUCCAAGUUCUGCCUGCAACUGUGUCGCCACACACACACACACACACACACACACACACACACACACACAAACACACAAACACACAAACACACAAACACACAAACACACUUAAACAUCACACAGCUGGUUUGUCUCAGAAUAGCUUCCUCUCUUCUUGAUGACAUUCUUCAGCCUGAGCUGUGUUGAGUAGUUAGUGAUAACACAUGCAUGGAUUAAUCUGCACUUCAUUUGUUGCUUUUGUGCUUUAGAUGUGUGUGUCGCAUCAUCUUUAACACGUACACAUAGCCUUGUUUUUUUUUUCUGUGGCACCAGACCCUAAAGCCUAAACAUGUGAGCAGAUUAUUAAAUGGCUCUUUUAUAAAUAUUAUUGUAAAUGUAUGUUAAUAAAGCUGGGAACACUUCAACCUGAACCUGAUAUCUGUUUGUUUUAAAUACAUGGUUGCAAAAACAGACAAGAGAGUGAAGAUAUAAAGUUUGAAGGAAACUAGUUGCUUACAAAAGUGCAUAAUGCACUCCUUCCCUCUUUUCUCCCAUAUUCAUGCACUGUCUCAUUGCAGGAAGAAGAAGCACAACGAUGUCUCAAAAAUCCCUUUAAAGGAGCCACCAGAGAUCCCAGGGACCAGUGAGCAGCAUCCAGAGACCGGCUCUAGUCCCCAGCCCGGAGUCUGAGGAGCUGCGAACUGAGGAGCUGUUCUGCGUUCAGAAGCCAGUGUAAAUUCUCACCCAGUGAACUCCUCACGUGCCUCGAUGGAGCAUUAGACGGCCUCUCCAGCUGGAAGAACGAGUGCUGUGUGGGCUCCCUGAAGUGGUGCAACACUGGGUCGUUGGAGAGCCACAGCGUGCUUGGGAACAGAGCAGUCUGUGUUUUUCUUUUUUUUUCCAGCUCUGCCUUUUGGAUGGAGGGCCAUUUCACAGGCAUCAUGGAUUAAUCUUUGGUGGGAUUUCUCUGGGAUCAAACUGAAUUGGAUGUUUAACCUCACGUGUCCUGGCUGAGCGUUCUCUACUGAUAAACCAGGAUAGAGGAUUGAAUGUGACCCACAUUGGGUUAAACACCACACUCUCUUAAAUGUGCUUAAACUGACUCCUCAGUGAAAAGGUAGAAAAAUAAGAAUACUUCAGUCCACCAAGGCCUGAAAAAUUGGGACAUUCAUAUCAGUAUGUUCCAUUAAGUUAUUCCUCAGUGCAUGAAGAUGACAUUUUUAGGCCUCUGUUUAGCUUCUUCCACACAAACACUUUUAUUUUUGCUCUGAAUUAAAUUGUUUGUUCUGUACUGUACUCUGAUGGUUUCUGAACUUUGGACUUGUACUUGAUGUCUAGCUACUCCUAAACAAACUCAAAAUAAUUUUGAGUACAAGUCCUGCUCAGGUAAAAAGGGCUGACCUGUUUGUACAUGUAUUCAUCGCUCACUGUAGCUGUCCUUUUAAUUUACACCAUAACACAGACUAGGGGCUUAAAAUCUCCUCUGUCAAUGAUACACUUUUAAAAGCUUAAAUCUGGCUGAGUGUGGAAACAUAACCUUGCUCUGUUUGUCAGAGGCAGUGAUUGAUGGCUCUGAAUUUAACAUGGAUGGCAAAUGUUGAAAUUCCACAUGCAGAGAGAGCUGUGUGGAUAUAGUGGAUUCCUCAUAAACAACUUAGCACAAACGCACAAUAUUGAUGAAUAAACAUGAAUUCGAUCUGCUUUCUUAUUAACAGACAAACAUGAAACCAGAUGCUGCUUAUCAAUGAGAUCUUUGUUAGUGACGUGCUGCAAUAUUGAGAGUUUUCAUAAUGAAGCAUCAUUUUCACAGAUGUGACAGUUUAGACUUUAGAGAGAAUUUAACCCUCAAUAAAACAGAUUUUAACCUUUUCCUCUGAAUCAACAUCACUCUGCCAUAUUGGGAAUGUUUGAAAUUGGUUUCUUUUUGUUGUUAAAAGAGGACUUAUAUUUACAUGACUUAUUUAUGGUGCAAUAAGUAAACACACUGUGUGACAAACAUAUACACUUUAUAUUAUAAUAAACAACAGAGAUGUUUUCAUUUUAGUGGUCUGUAUAAAUACUUCAAACAUUAAUAUACAUGUUGAUUUAUGAUGGGUUCACAGUGAUGUUAAACUAAAACAUGAACAUUAAU